UACGUAGGGUGCGAGCGUUGUCCGGAAUUAUUGGGCGUAAAGGGCUCGUAGGCGGUUUGUCGCGUCUGCUGUGAAAACCUAAGGCUCAACCUUGGGCUUGCAGUGGGUACGGGCAGACUAGAGUGCGGUAGGGGGUGACUGGAAUUCCUGGUGUAGCGGUGGAAUGCGCAGAUAUCAGGAGGAACACCGAUGGCGAAGGCAGGUCACUGGGCCGCAACUGACGCUGGAGGAGCGGAAAGCAUGGGGAGCGAACAGG
Molecule: ribosomal RNA, 256 nt
Filed under: uncultured bacterium
Lineage: Bacteria
Description: partial 16S ribosomal RNA
Rfam family: Bacterial small subunit ribosomal RNA
Source: RNAcentral